Caretta caretta (loggerhead turtle) is the source of this 2306-nucleotide long non-coding RNA. RefSeq lists it as uncharacterized. NCBI's taxonomy places the organism in Eukaryota, Metazoa, Chordata, Testudines, Cheloniidae. The record is from RefSeq and is a predicted model, not a curated record.
GAAGUGCAAAGUCAAACUCCCUGGUUCAGCCAGGGCCCUCCCCCUGGCGCAGUAACGCCUAAGUCUUCUAGAGCACUUUCUAGCCCUGGAGCUGUUAUACCCCUUCACAAAGGGGAGUAAGCAUCAUUGGCCCCAUUUUACAGCUGAGGAAACUGAGGCACGAAAAAGUGAAAUGACUUUCCUGAACUUGUGUGUCCGGUCAGUGGUGGAGCCAGGAUUAGCACAGGAGUCUCCUGGUACUAGUCCAGUGCUCUUUGAAGUAGGUCACAGGGAACAGGCUGAAGUGCUAGUGUGAUAUCUACUGUUCAUGCCCAGGCUGCUGUGGGGUGGAGGAGGACAGCUUUGUGCUGCCUGUGAACUCUUUAGGGAGCCCCUGACAAAUCUGGAUACCUUCCCCUUUACCACCAUCCUUUGAAACCCAUCCUAACUGUGGCACCUUUCCCAUUCCCACUCCUCUGGCUCACAGAAAUAGAGCUGGCAGGAGGAACCCACUGAUUUUUGGCUGGGGGAAAAGUUUUUUGAUAUAACUUCCUUUACAUCAAAAUGAUACAUUCGGUCAAAGCAGGAAGCAUCAGUAGAAUUACUUAAUGGCUGGUCCAUACACACAGACAGUGGCAGGACACCUAAUAGGCAUGGCCGUACAGGUGGUGGUAAGGACAAGGGAUGGAUUCUCGCAACUUACGAGCUCAGACAGGAAGAAGACACAAUUAACAGAAGGGAGUUCCUGAUUUAUGUAAACCAGCACUGCUGAUUUAUAAGCUGCAAGCGUUCAUGUUCUGUCAGGUACUGCCCCUAGCAAGCAGCUCUCAGCAGCCAGGAGGGUCCACUGCCAAUCACCAACUGCCUUGGAACCUUCUGGCUGCACUAUUCCAUCCCUUCCUGGUUAAAUAGAUCCCUGAUGGCUAGAGAAAGAGAAGUGACUUACGUUGUAGCAUCUAGAGUUCUCUAAGAUGUGCGGUCGCUGUCUGUGUUCCGCUGGUGGAUGUGCAUGUGCUUUAGGCACCUGAGACUGGAAGAUUCUUACUAGCAGUGUCUAUUAGCCUGCACCUACACCCUUCUCAUGUUGCACACCAAGAGUAUAAGGGGCAGCAUGGACAGAUCGCUUCUCCAAUUCCUUCACCACCACGGAUCAAGGCAGAGGGGAAGGAGGACAGGUAGCAGAAUACAGAUAGGGACUACACACCUCAAACUACUUCAGUUACUAUAAGAUCCCCAGUGAUGCCAGAAGAUUCAGCAGAAAUUAAGUUGAUGUCAGAACUUUCGACCAGAACUUGCAUAUCAAGAAUCAAUUUUCUAGAUUUUUGUUAAUUAGAUCACACCAGAUUUCCACUCAAACUGCAACAGUAUAAUCAUGAUGCAAAUUUCAUCAGACGUGGGACAGCUGAACAUAAAUUCAAGACUACAGUCCUCCUGAGAGUUCUCUUGAGCGUUAUUGGAAAGGCUUAUCUGUUCUGGGCUUCCCUAAAAGAGGUGCCACAUGAAUGAAUUAUUGAAGCACAGAUUGUAACCUGGAGAGGAUCCAAGGUUGAUGGUACCACUUUACCAACCAGAUAGCACUGAUGCAAGUGAGAAAAUAACACCAAUUGCUAGAGCCAGAUGUGAUGUGAAGAGACAACAUAUAGCUUCCCUUCAAAGCUCAGCCAAUCCACAGCAUUACUGAGUCAUCUAGUCCUGGGAACUUCCUGAACAGAGACUGCCAAACAGUGGUGAUUCAGCAACCUAGGGUUUGUUUGAAGAGCACAGCCAUUGCCUUAUCUAAUCGGUGAUCAGUUUUAAUGAACAGAAAGGACCUUGCCCUUCCAAUUCCUCAGCUGAACCACAAUUAUGUAUGUGUUAUUUUUGUUUGAGAGGGUUUUGUAUGUUUAUCUUUUAUUCAUUCGUGAGCCUUCAUUAUUGUAAAAGGCUAUACAGAUACGUGUUGCACAUCAUGCAGUGAAAACAGUCAGCCCAAUUUAAACUGAUCUCCAGUUGAAGGCCCAUCAGGUAGAAUGAUUUGCCCACUCUAUUGUAUUGUCUUUCUUGUAAUGUUAUGGCCCAACCUGCAGGGUCCUGAGUGUCCUCAACUCCCACUGAAGUCAGUGGGAAAUGAGGCUGCUUAGCCUCUCAUAGAACCAACCCUAGAAUAUUUUAAUCUACUUAUGGGUUUUUUUUAAUAUUCAUUAUGUUCUUGCUGUCAUUUGUAUAUAUGUCAGAAUGAUUAACAGAUCAUUUGAAGUAACAGUGCUUGUACCUCUGUUACUAGUUAUAAAAGCUACAUCAAUGUAUUUUAAAUACUGUAAGUACAAUAUGAAAUGGCUGUAAGUACA